This 4929-nucleotide long non-coding RNA is filed under the name Homo sapiens (human). RNAcentral's name for it is "HSALNT0339904". Lineage: Eukaryota; Metazoa; Chordata; Mammalia; Primates; Hominidae. The record is from RNAcentral.
AACUUCUGACGAGCGCAGGCUCGGGCUCAGGCUCCGACACGGGCUCUGGCCCCCGGCCUGGCUUGGCGGCCCGGCCGGGUCCCCUCGGCGCGGGAUGGGCACGGACCCUCAGCAUCAGCCGAGAUGGCAGGCGGGCUGGAGACCCCGAGGCCCGGUCACCGCCGCGCAGAGCGUGGCCGCCUCGCUGCUCCAGCACGGCUCGCCCAGGGCCGACUGGGGCGGCUUGGACCCCCCUCCCACCCACCCCACCCACCCACCCCUCCCCCACACCCCCGCCCCCUGCCCUUCCCGAGGGCAGCAGCCGCGGCCCGGAGAUAAGCGCUAGUGCGGCGCCGGGCUCUGCCUGGGCUAGUGGCACCGACUUGGAAAUUACCAGCCGCCGCCGCUGCGCCCUUUCUAGACAAAUCCCACAGCAGUUCACCCGGCUCCCCCAAAACCGCAGAGCUUUUCUUUACUGAGAGGACCCCUUGGUUCCACCAAUUCCCCCAAAUCCCCGUGGCUCCCGAUCUCUCAUCCAGGGGGACUAGAAGAAAAGAUUUUCUCAGCACUAGAAGAAUACUUGGAGCAGCAAAGGUGCCCGUGGUGUCUUUCUACCAUUCAAGGGGUGUCCUCCUGAAGGCGUCUGAGAGGGCCUCUGGCGGUUCCAAGGCUGUGCAGCCGGGGAGGAAGGAAAAGGAAACGCCAAGACAUAGAAAACCACGCUUUUCCCGUAGGAAGAACCGAUGAUGAGCCCUGAUGAAAGAAGGAAGAAGACCCGCUGUCUGCGAAGGCCUAAAGGUUAGAAAUACAGCAAUUUUUCUCAUGCCGAAGGAAAGGCAAAAUGGUCUAAGAAACUGCAAGAGUGUGAUACAAGUUUUCCUCAACAGCGAGCUGGGACUGGCGACAAUUUCUUAACUCACAGCCUCCGCAGUCGCCUUAGUCGACAAAGAGAGCAGCCCACGCAGCGGCCGCCGCGCCCGUGCCCGUGGCCUUUACUUGCUUUUGCCCUGAAGUUCAGUGUAGUGGUUUGUUUGGGGCUUGCAGGAAGAAACAAACACACUCCCUCUGACUCUCCACAACCCAUCUUUGCCUUCUGCAACCGCUUCUCCUGCCCAUCGCUGGUUUUGGGGUAGGCUCUUUGUCUGCCUGAGGCCCCGCACUCGCAGGGCAAGAAGCUUAAAGGAAUCCAACUCCAAACUCCUCCGAAGUUAAAUAUUGACCAGAACCUCUUUCAACAGGCCGCGGUUGCCAGGAACCGUGGAGGGCCAACUCCUCCCAACCGCCCUGGUGCAAAGUCCCACGCGGCGAAGAGUUUUGGAGCAGCGCUUACCUAGAAAGAUGUUUAAAUUCUGAACCAGGAAUUGUCUCCAACUCCAGGCGCUCAGGGAAUCGCCUUUUCCGGUGUCCAGGCGCUCUGCAGACAAAUAAACAGCAGAAGGUGAAUGGCGGCUGCGAGGGAAGGGAGUUGGAGGCCGGGAGUGGGAAGCGAGGCUCAUGCGGGCGCCAAGGUGGCCCUGGGGGUGACGCGAACAUCAGGGAGUCACCAGGGCACUCGUCCGUGUGGCGCACUCAUUGCUCGAAAUGUUCCAGUCUACAAAUGGUCCGAAGAUGGUGAUUUAUUUUUGUAAAAUAAAUACAUACUCCAUCUCCACACCCAUACUUUCUCCUUUUUCUUUCUUUUUUUUGGCGGGGGAGUGGGGAAGGAAAGGACAUGAAGCAAACAGAGGAAGCUGAGAAGGUGGAAGUGGCUUUGCUGGUGGUGUGGGCUGCUUUCAGAGAGCUCUCUCCUCAGGCACCACAACUUGGAGAAUGUGAAUGCUUGCUUUAUUUUCCUUUCCUAACAAAAGGAAGCCUUGUCUGGGAGCAUUCAAUCACGGACUCUCCUGAAACCUCACUAAUAUGUGUUCAUUUCUGUAGGCGCGAAAUCAGACCCGGGUUCAUUCCACUGGCCAGAGGCAGUCUUGGGAGGAUUUGUGUUCUGGUUUAUUCAACUCUGGCAAAUGGUCACCGAGCCGGCAGUCAGCUUUCUGGGAGUGGGAGAUGAUGGGGAAAGAGGAAAGAAUCGUCCGCUCGCCGGACCCUGGCUUGGAGAAGUUCUGCGCUCCGCUGGGACUCUGCGGGCCCUUUGCGUCUACAGACCUAUCCCUGCCCCGACUACCCCUUCACUCAGACCCAGCCUUCCCCAGCGUGAAUCAGAACAUUACCAACUGUCUGCGCAUCCGUCCCACUUCAUCACCAAAGCCAGGAUGUGACCGCAGAAAACCCAAGCCCGAACUCACGUUUCCCCGGACGCGGCGCGCUCCCUGGACUCGCAGAAACCCUGCGGAAAAGGCCCCAAGAUCUGGUGAGGGCCUGCCAGCUCCGUCCUCCCUGCCGAGGGCUCUCUCCUGCCUUCCUGAAGGAGUUAAAAGCCUUUGGAGAUAAAUCUGAGGGUGUGUGUUUUUAAAAAUCAAAUGGUAAGUUGGAAUCUCACUUCUGAGAGAUUCAUUCCUAGUGAGGCCCUGACGACUCCGAUCCAUUCCUGACGAUCUGCAUUAAUUAUUUAAUGAGUCACGUGACCUCAAAGAUUACAAUUUCAAUAUCUCCCUUGCACAGGCGCUACACCUUUAUCAGCUGCAACCAGGGUCCUUUUUUUGGCUCUGCCGGCCUCCGGGGCACAUUCAUCCUUGCCCUGGUCUGAGGCAAGCCACCACCAUGGAAAUAGCAGGGCAAGCAUGACAGAAUUAGUCAUCCUGGGAUUAUGACCGUUGUGGAUAGUGGGGAGUCCACUGCUCUCCGAGAUGCCCUGACAUCUGUCCCCUCCUGAGCCCAGUGGCCAGUCCACCUGUCUGAGCUCUAUGACUAGGGUGGCUUGGUUACAAAAUCUCCCCAAGCAGCUUUGAUGGCCCAUGAGGCAAGAACCCAUCCUUCUUCUCUGGCUGUACACACCUGUGACCGUCCAGGUCAAGUGUAAGCUUAGAUGCAUACCUCCAUUCCUGGCAGAAUAUCUUCCUAAGAGGAAAGAUGUCUGUGCUCUUAUUGCUCUCUAGAGUGAGACUAAAGGUUGCAUUCCACCCUCGUACUCAUUAACUUAAGGAACGGUGGAGGGAGGAUCAUUCGGCUGCCUCAGUUUUCUCAUCUGUAAAUUAAGAAGAUUGAACCAAAAUGGCCUCCAGGUCUCCUUCACUUUGGACAGUCUUUCAAUCUGGGAAUCUCUUUCAGCCCCAGGAAACAAUCCCAGAGAAAGUAGGGCUGGCUUGAAAGGGAAGGGGUUGCCCCGUGAUUUUGGAGUCUUCAGAAGAGGUGCCAGAGUUCUGUAAGUUGCAGCCUAGAGGGUUUCAAGACAGCCACAGCAGCCUCCCUCAUACCAUCAAGGGAACAGAACACACGUCUCUUCCUCCUAUUGUUUCCAGCCCAUGUGUUUCUUUGGAACACGAAGCAGAAUUAUUCUUGGGACAGUGUAUAAUAUAGGGAAGGGGCAACACAGCAGCAGUUGAGAAAGGUGAGCCUGUGUUCUGCUAUACAAGACUGUGUUUAGGGAUGCAGAGACCAGGGGAGUGCCAAGGGCAGCCUACUGCCUGCACAGAACCCACUCAUUCAGAGGGGAAGCCCCAGGCUUUUUUGCUACAUUGAUUCUUUGGGUUUUUCUUCUCUUUCAUUCUAAAGAGUCAUUGAUCUGUUUCUAUGUGGGAACUGCUAGAGGGAAGGCAACAGUGAGGAGAGCAGAGUUUGGAAGCUUAGGGGAACAGGGGGACAGAGGAAAGAUGGUGAUAUCCACCCCACCCCACCCCAUAGGGAGGAGGCUGAGAUAUAGGGGAAUGGGGCCCGCUGGGACAACUGGGUAUGAAGUCAGAGAUGCUAUGCGAAGGGACUUCCCUCCUCCCCCAUCUAUCUAGGUAAUCUUCCCAUGGCUCCAUCCUGGGUAUUAAGUACUCUACUAUGCCUGUCACAGUUGAAUUCCUGCUGUAAUAAAACACCGGGUAUAUCAUAGAUUUCAGCAAAACUAGGGAAGGAAGCCUGCAAAGUGCCAUUUUUCUUCAAGGGGGAGAGUGUUAAGUACUUAAUUCAAACUGUGACCAUUAAAGUGUCUCCUAUCCGAUUUAGGUCGAUUUCAGAUGUUGACAAAACUUUUGUCUCCGGAGUCAUGCACAACUUGGCUCUGUGACUAAAGCAGAUGAGUGUGUAUUGGAGGGAGGGAGAAAGAGAGAAAAGGAGAGUAUGUGUAAGGCUCAUUUUGGUAAAAUUAUAGAGCUUACACAAAAUACUGUCUUUAAAGGUCAAGGAUUUGAGGGGCCAGUAGGGUUUGCUUAAAAAAAAAAAACAAUUAAUGAGAUAGAAAAUUUGUCCUCUCGGUGAACUCUUAUGGUUGCCCUAGCAAAGGGCAGACAAUGCAUGAUUUUGAAGCACAAAGUGGGAUUUUCUAAUCUCUUAUAACAAGCUCCCUUAAAGGCCAAUUUGAAGCAGGCAAAACAACACUUAAGAAAUGGCAAUCAUUUGGAUCAUUUUCUAUAAUCUGGGUUUUGUAAAACUCACCAAUACCUUAAUAAUCAAUACAGUUGGGACAAAAAUGCCAUCUUGUCCUGGAAUAUCAGAAAAAUGAUCUCAAUCCUCUCUCUUCCCUUUCUGGAUGGACUUAUAAGUGCAAGUGAAAGAAAGUCACCCCUUUCAUCCUCAUACAACUGCCUGCAGCAUGAAGCUAAUGAAUAUUCCCAUACCCCUCUUUUCCCACAAAGGAGAAAUAUAAGAAUUUACCUUAAAUGAUGAUAGUCUGCCAUUUGAGAUUUUGCAGCUUGACACUCAAUUUCCACUGAGAGUCUAGGCAUUUUUUUUUUUUAGCAGACAGCCAAGAUGCUGUGUCCUUGCCUGAGACCACAUUAUUUGCAAGAAGAUCCCUCUCUCCUCCACAGACUUUUCCCAGAGAAUGCCUUUCAGAAUUGCUGUUGAAUUACAAAGAAGUAUUUAUUGUUUGAG